This 775-nucleotide ribosomal RNA is filed under the name uncultured Neocallimastigales. RNAcentral describes it as "partial large subunit ribosomal RNA". It matches the Rfam family "Eukaryotic large subunit ribosomal RNA", at positions 24 to 611 of the family's 3401-position model. The record is from RNAcentral. Lineage: Eukaryota; Fungi; Neocallimastigomycota; Neocallimastigomycetes; Neocallimastigales.
UAUCUCUGUAGAGUCUGCAUAUCAAUAAGCGGAGGAAAAGAAACUAACAAGGAUUCCCUUAGUAACGGCGAGUGAAGCGGGAAGAGCUCAAAUUUGAAAUCUUCAAGGUUUUACCUUGACGAAUUGUAGUUUAAAGAAGUGUUUUCUGUUGAAGUUUCGGUAAAAGUUCUUUGGAAUAGGACAUCAUAGAGGGUGAGAAUCCCGUAUUUGACCGUUAUUUUCAGCUGUGUGAUACACUUUCAAAGAGUCGGAUUGUUUGGGAAUGCAGUCCAAAAUGGGUGGUAAAUUUCAUCUAAAGCUAAAUAUUGGCGAGAGACCGAUAGCGAACAAGUACCGUGAGGGAAAGAUGAAAAGAACUUUGAAAAGAGAGUUAAACAGUACGUGAAAUUGUCAAAAGGGAAGCGUUUGACACCAGUGUUGUUUUCUCGAAAAUCAAUUAAAAAUGGCUUGAUUUUGUGUUGUAUUGACCUUAAAAGCUUUCUGCACUUUUUUCAUGUCUUUUUUAAUGCACUUUUCGUUUAACAAGUCAACAUCAGUUUCUUUUGUUGUAAAAAGGUCAUUGGAAGGUGGCUUUCUUUUCGGAGAAAGUGUUUAUAGCCUUUGACUCCUGCAAUCGGAGAGACUGAGGUCUGCAGCGUAGAUCCUUCUUGGAUUAGAUUCAUUUGUGCUAAGUUAUAGCUUUUUAUAGACAACUUGUUGACUAUAUUUAGUCUUGUAGCUUACUCGCUUAUGUAAUUUUACCUACGCUUAGGAUGUUGAACGCGCACAGAGUCUC